AACUCAAAAGAAUUGACGGGGGCCCGCACAAGCGGUGGAGCAUGUGGUUUAAUUCGACGCAACGCGAAGAACCUUACCAGGUCUUGACAUCUUUUGCUACUUCUGGAGACAGAAGGUUCCCCUUCGGGGGACAAAAUGACAGGUGGUGCAUGGUUGUCGUCAGCUCGUGUCGUGAGAUGUUGGGUUAAGUCCCGCAACGAGCGCAACCCUUAAUCUUAGUUGCCAGCAUUCAGUUGGGCACUCUAAGGUGACUGCCGGUGACAAACCGGAGGAAGGUGGGGACGACGUCAAAUCAUCAUGCCCCUUAUGACCUGGGCUACACACGUGCUACAAUGGAUGGUACAGAGGGAUGCGAAACCGCGAGGUGGAGCCAAUCUCGCAAAGCCAUUCUCAGUUCGGAUUGCAGGCUGCAACUCGCCUGCAUGAAGCCGGAAUCGCUAGUAAUCGUGGAUCAGCAUGCCACGGUGAAUACGUUCGCGGGCAUUGCACACACCGCCU
RNAcentral lists this ribosomal RNA (498 nucleotides) under uncultured bacterium. RNAcentral describes it as "bacterial SSU rRNA". It matches the Rfam family "Bacterial small subunit ribosomal RNA", at positions 898 to 1395 of the family's 1533-position model. The record is from RNAcentral.